This 1151-nucleotide long non-coding RNA is filed under the name Brassica rapa (field mustard). RNAcentral's name for it is "long non-coding RNA (BRAP_LNC003155)". The record is from RNAcentral. Lineage: Eukaryota; Viridiplantae; Streptophyta; Magnoliopsida; Brassicales; Brassicaceae.
UGAGGGUAAUCCAGAGGCAUGAAAGCUGAUUGGUUAUGUGAAUGAACAACAGGAGGAGAAGAGACAGAAUCUUCUUGAACCUGUUUGGUUGUUGAUGAUGAAGAAGAAGAAGAGUGGGAAGAGGUGAACUUGGGAGCUCUUUUAGCGUCUUCUUGGACUAAGUAACGGUUAACUGUUCUUUGCCACACUGCUCUUGCUUCUCCUCCUGCCAUCAUUUCAUUUCACACCAUAGAGCUCUGAUAUUUUAAGACAAAAGAGAUUUGAUUAUACAUAAAAACCAAACAGUUGAAGAUCAAUGCAACCACUUGAUUCCCAUUAUGGAAGAAAAUGAAUCAUUUAUUUCAAAGUUGGAAUCUUUAUGAGAUGGGUGGGCACAUAUAAGACACAGAUCCAUCACCAAAAAGCUUUACAGAAAACACCUUUGAACAAUAGAAUCUGACGGUUUGCUUUAAAGGAAGUUUGUCCUAAUCUUCUAACAAAACAUAUGCAGAUUCUUGUCUAUAUUAUUAAGCAAACUAUUUUUUUUUACUUAACAACCAAACAAUCCUUCUUUGCAAUUUAGAAUCAAAUCUCCAAAACAAUUAACUAAACCCAUAAGAAGAGCGUUUCAUCUUCUGCGGUGUUGGUAAGUCGCAAUUCUCAACGAAGAAGUCUAGAGACCUUUGUGCAACCAAGGAAGCUAACUCAUCUUUGUCUGUAGUUCUCCACCAGGGUCCAGCUUUCUCGCUCGAGAGAGGAUUCCAUGGAGAGCUCGGAUCGAAAGGUAUCUCAGAGGAUUCAUCUUUGCCAAAAGAACCAUAACUCUCUCUAGUCUCCUUUGCUCCCAGCUCAGGUUUCUUCUCAGAGAUAUUAACCUCAGCUUCCAAUGGCGUCUUCACGUGAAGGUGAUGGGGAUGAUGAUCCAACAACUGAGGGUAAUCCAGAGGCAUGAAAGCUGAUUGGUUAUGUGAAUGAACAACAGGAGGAGAAGAGACAGAAUCUUCUUGAACCUGUUUGGUUGUUGAUGAUGAAGAAGAAGAAGAGUGGGAAGAGGUGAACUUGGGAGCUCUUUUAGCGUCUUCUUGGACUAAGUAACGGUUAACUGUUCUUUGCCACACUGCUCUUGCUUCUCCUCCUGCCAUCAUUUCAUUUCACACCAUAGAGCUCUGAUA